GACGAACGCUGGCGGCGUGCUUAACACAUGCAAGUCGAACGGAAAGGCCCUGCUUUUGUGGGGUGCUCGAGUGGCGAACGGGUGAGUAACACGUGAGUAACCUGCCCUUGACUUUGGGAUAACUUCAGGAAACUGGGGCUAAUACCGGAUAGGAGCUCCUGCUGCAUGGUGGGGGUUGGAAAGUUUCGGCGGUUGGGGAUGGACUCGCGGCUUAUCAGCUUGUUGGUGGGGUAGUGGCUUACCAAGGCUUUGACGGGUAGCCGGCCUGAGAGGGUGACCGGCCACAUUGGGACUGAGAUACGGCCCAGACUGCUACGGGAGGCAGCAGGGGGGAAUAUUGCACAAUGGGCGGAAGCCUGAUGCAGCAACGCCGCGUGCGGGAUGACGGCCUUCGGGGUGUAAACCGCUUUCGCCUGUGACGAAGCGUGAGUGACGGUAAUGGGUAAAGAAGCACCGGCUAACUACGUG
This 468-nucleotide ribosomal RNA is filed under the name uncultured bacterium. RNAcentral describes it as "partial 16S ribosomal RNA". It matches the Rfam family "Bacterial small subunit ribosomal RNA", at positions 28 to 507 of the family's 1533-position model. The record is from RNAcentral.